UCACCGUCGGGCUCGGAUUCGCUUGGUGCAGCUCGGGAAGCAAUUGGCUGACACAACCACUUGACCUUUUCCUCGUUGGUUUGUGAGCAGUGAAUGGAUCCCGACUGCAUCAACUGAAUCGGAGUCUCGCUGGUGAAA
Eutrema salsugineum is the source of this 138-nucleotide microRNA precursor. It matches the Rfam family "MIR168 microRNA precursor family". The record is from Rfam. NCBI's taxonomy places the organism in Eukaryota, Viridiplantae, Streptophyta, Magnoliopsida, Brassicales, Brassicaceae.